RNAcentral lists this ribosomal RNA (468 nucleotides) under uncultured bacterium. RNAcentral describes it as "partial 16S ribosomal RNA". It matches the Rfam family "Bacterial small subunit ribosomal RNA", at positions 28 to 507 of the family's 1533-position model. The record is from RNAcentral.
GACGAACGCUGGCGGCGUGCUUAACACAUGCAAGUCGAACGGAAAGGCCCUGCUUUUGUGGGGUGCUCGAGUGGCGAACGGGUGAGUAACACGUGAGUAACCUGCCCUUGACUUUGGGAUAACUUCAGGAAACUGGGGCUAAUACCGGAUAGGAGCUCCUGCUGCAUGGUGGGGGUUGGAAAGUUUCGGCGGUUGGGGAUGGACUCGCGGCUUAUCAGCUUGUUGGUGGGGUAGUGGCUUACCAAGGCUUUGACGGGUAGCCGGCCUGAGAGGGUGACCGGCCACAUUGGGACUGAGAUACGGCCCAGACUCCUACGGGAGGCAGCAGUGGGGAAUAUUGCACAAUGGGCGGAAGCCUGAUGCAGCAACGCCGCGUGCGGGAUGACGGCCGUCGGGUUGUAAACCGCUUUCGCCUGUGACGAAGCGUGAGUGACGGUAAUGUGUAAAGAAGCACCGGCUAACUACGUG